Molecule: ribosomal RNA, 491 nt
Filed under: uncultured bacterium
Lineage: Bacteria
Description: partial 16S ribosomal RNA
Rfam family: Bacterial small subunit ribosomal RNA
Source: RNAcentral
AUGAACGCUAGCUACAGGCUUAACACAUGCAAGUCGAGGGGAAACGACAUCGAAAGCUUGCUUUUGAUGGGCGUCGACCGGCGCACGGGUGAGUAACGCGUAUCCAACCUGCCCAUCACUUGGGAAUAACCUUGCGAAAGUAAGACUAAUACCCAAUGAUAUCCCACGAAGGCAUCGGAAUGGGAUUAAAGAUUUAUCGGUGAUGGAUGGGGAUGCGUCUGAUUAGCUUGUUGGCGGGGUAACGGCCCACCAAGGCAACGAUCAGUAGGGGUUCUGAGAGGAAGGUCCCCCACAUUGGAACUGAGACACGGUCCAAACUCCUACGGGAGGCAGCAGUGAGGAAUAUUGAUCAAUGGGCGAGAGCCUGAACCAGCCAAGUAGCGUGCAGGAAGACGGCCCUAUGGGUUGUAAACUGCUUUUAUAAGGGAAUAAAGUGGGUCACGUGUGACUUUUUGCAUGUACCUUAUGAAUAAGGACCGGCUAAUUCCGUG